GAAAGCUUUUAAUAUAACCGUUGGAAGUCGAAAGGGUUGGCUUCGUAUUCCCGCAAUAUAUUCGUUCCCGCUCUCAACAGACCCAAACCCCUGACGAUCUCUCUAACUCCUCCGCUCCCCGGAGUCCAAAACACCACCUUACUUCCUUCGCCGGAGAUCUAAGAUACCCUUUGAAUUCGAAAGAAUUGGUUUGUGGUCGCGCGUUCUUCGGUCAUUCCGCCAGACCCAUAGCGAUCUAUGUAACUCCACUGCCGGAGACCUAAACACCCCCAACCUCGCGCAGGAAACUCUGAUUCAUCUCUCUAGUCCAAGAAAUUAUCAAGAUCAUCGGGUUUUCUGCUAUUGAGAUGUGAUUUAUUUUCCUGUACACAUAAAGUUUAAUGUAUGGACAUGAAAUCUAAGUCUAUCAGAUCACGAUGCUUUAGUCAACAAUCUUCCCUCGUAUUUCUGUUUGGUUAAAAAUAGUAUGUGGUUUUAGGGAAGAUGAAAAUCAAAGCCUUUGCAAUUCACGGAUGAGGACUGGAAACAACUGAAUGACAUUAAUUAUUGGAUACAAGGAAGGUGAUAAUGAUGAACAGUCUGGGAAUAAAGAUGACUUCCACAUGAAACAUAAUUAUGCUUCAAAACUUACUGAAGUUCAUGAGUUUGUUGCUGACUUAUAAUGUGAGUGGGCUAUGGAUGGAUGCUUUACAAAGCUCACACAUGGGGAUAAGGUCUUCUCUCAGAGGGAUAAUGAGAUUCACAACAGUAUUUAAAAAUACAAGGUCAUUUGAAAAGCUUAAUAAUUUGGUUGUUAAUUUUCAUAAUGCUACUGUGGUUGCUAGGGUUGUUGGAGUGCUUAAAAUUCUUGGGUUAAAAGGGAAAAAGUGAGCCAUCUGUGACAGAAGAUGAACUCAAGCUGAUGUUUAGGGUUGCAGAGUUGAUGAAGAAGAGCAAGCAUGCAUAAAUAAAGAUAUGAUUGAGAAUGUGUUGGAGAUAAAAGGCACCCAUGUGAAGGAUGUUUUAUAAGUCUCCUCUUGUAGAUGUAGUUACGGUUGAUUCUUGGUUGGUUUUCAUCACUUAUUCAGUGAAUUAUAAUAUUCUAAUAGUCACCAAUUAUUUGAAGAUGAGUUUGAAGGCAUCUGACACUUAAAUUGAGACACGUAGGCAUUCUUUUUGGAAUUCAUAUUCAGUGCUUGCUGGUGUAGAUACUUAAUCUUCCUUAUGCUGAUUGAGAAAUAGCAAGAUACUUUCAGUUCUUAAUCCAGGUAUGUUCUUUCUACUAAAAAUAUACCAAAUAUAGCAUUGCACUUUAAGUUUUUCUUAUUUUAAGAACAUUUUCCUUUGAAAAAUAAACCCAACUUUAGCAUUGCACUUUUCAGUUUUCUUUCAUUUGAAAUUUCAAUAAAUUUCCAAUCAAACCAUUUUAAUUUAAAAAGUACACCAAAUUUAGCAUUGCACUUCCAGUUUUCAUAUUAUAUGCAUAUAUAUAUAUAUCCCUUUGAAAAAUAAACCCUACUAUUUGCAUUUCAGUUUUUUUGUUAAAAGAUUGUAACUUUGUAAUUUUUUUUUUUCAUAUCAAGGCAUUUUACUUUGAAACAUCUACCGGUUAUAGUAUUGCACUUUGCAUUUUAUUUUUAAAAGCAUGUUUCUAUUUGAAAAUUCAACCGGUUUAUAACAUUGCAAUUUUUAGUUUUCAUUUGUGACAACAUUUCAACUUUAAAAGUCUAUACAUUUUUUCCUUAUCUAGACAUUUUACUUUGAAAAAUCCACCACUUUUAGUAUUGUACUUUCAUUAGCCUGUUACUUAAUCAGUUCAUGUUGCUUUACACCACAUCUUGUAUCUUUAGGUUCUACCUAUUUUUGAUAUGUUUUAGGGCACAAACAGUUUAUGUCAAGGAAAAUGUAUCAUUUCAUACAACUCAGUAUGCCAUAGAGUUGAUCAAACAAAGUUCUUCACUAUUUGUUGUAAUGUCCUAUUUUUCUAAAGUACUAUUUUAGUUUUUUGUAAUGUCCCUUUCACUUCCCUUUUCAAGCACCAUGAUGAAAUUUCAAGGGAAUUUCUCUCUUUCCUUAAAAACUAUUGUUAUAUAUGUUGAAGGAGCAUAACUAAACCCUAAAUCCUUAAAACUAGAAUCUUCUUGAAAAUAUGGCAACUCAUUUCAUUACUUUUCUUAAAAAGUAUGUCAUAUAUGUUUAAGGAGCAUAACUAUACCCGAAUCCCUUAAAAGGUUCUCUACAAAAAGAAUAUUUUUUGAAAUUUUGGUACUUGUUUCAUGGUUUUAGUCAACAAUCUUCCCUCGUAUUUCAGUAUUCAUUGUUUUUGUUUCUGUUUCUGUUUGAUUAAAAAUAUGCAAACACACUAGACUGAGUGCAUGGUUUGGUUAACUUUACAAAGGCAACUACAUUCCAUUAUCAAAGUAGUGAACAAUGUUGAAGAAGCCAUAGAACAUAUACACAUCAUUGGAAGGUAAUUUAGGUAAAUAUUCAUCUUUGUUGGGGGUAUUGUAUUAAAUUUUUUUUUUUCAAUUUCAGUUCCUACACUGAGUGCAAUGUAACUUUCUUUUUCCAUUUCUUUCUUUUUGACAUGCAACUCUGUUGCUAUUUUGUGUAAAAAAUAAAGUUACUUGCACAUAUUGGUAAAAAGAGUAAAGUAUGUUACUCAUCUAACAAAUCCUCUUUUUGUGGCUUUUUGAUAGAAGAAUAACUUAACUGGAGCAGUUAAGAGCACCUACAAAUCUUGAAAAAAGCUAAAUGUCUCACUAUUAUGCGUCUGGAUGCCAAACUAUUUGAUAGAAUAACCUCAACACAUGUUGCAUUCAUUCAACCUUCAGUUCUUACAUAUAAAAAAGCAAUGUGUUACAUUAUGUUAUGAACCAAUAGUGAAUGGUUUGGUUACCUUUUACUAAGGCAACUACAUUCCAUUUUGGAAGUAGUGAACAAUGUUGAUGAAGUAUGACAAUCAGAUUUCUCAAGAAAGUUGAUUGUGGCAAAUUGCCAAGACACUGAGAAAUAGCAAAACACUUUCAGUUCUUAAUCCAGGUCUAAAAUGAUACAGUAGUUACUACUUCAGAAGACAAUCAUUCGGGCAGUGGGCAGAGGCAAAAAACUCACAACCCUGCCCGAGAUUUUUCGGUCAAGUUUUAGAAAAAUUGUUUCUUGUGACAAGGAAUGCCUGGAAAACAACUUCCCAACACUUCUGUGACAGCUUUGUUGAUUUUUAUAUAUGCUGUUGGAACCAGUCAACAACCCAUUAGUUCAAACAAAACAACAGCUUGAAUUACUUCUUCUGUUUCCGUUAGAUUCCAAUCCAAUUCAAAAGGCAAGUAAAUUUACUCUUCUACCCUCACAAACUACAAUGCUAGUUACAAUUUAUGACAUGGUUUCAGUUAAUUUGAAUACAAUAAAACAAUAAGGUUAUGGGAGGUGUUAUGGAAACACUAUAUAGUGAACACCUUGCAUUUAUACGGAGCCAAUGUGGUUGACGAAUCUUGUUGAUGAGUCAACGCAGACUGCAACUGACGAGAGAACUCGGACUUGUUCUGUAAGUGAACGUCAUAGCUAUGGUGUCUUGUUCAAGUCAUCCACAAAGACAUCAAAAUGAAAGUGACAUGUGAAAGAAAGGUCACACAAAAGAUAAAGAGAAAUGUCAGCUCCACUUUUCUUUUCUUUCUCAUAUGACACCUUAGCCUCUCUAUUUUCUAGACUCUCUUUAUUUAGUUCUACACUAUGAGACCCUACCUCAUUAUUCCCUUAUAAAAGCAAGGCCAUCAGGAAAAGUCUUAUGGGUUGAUCCUGUCAGCUCAAAGUCAAAAAGUAGAUUUGAUUGUCAAUUGAACGGUAUUUAGGUCCAAAUUGUUCAAAGAAAGAAUUUAUAUUCAAGAAAGAAAAAGGAUGCAUGAAACAAUGUUUAUAGUUGUUCAAUGUCUUGGAAAGAUGCUUGCUCCUAUUAUGUGACAUGACAUCUCCUUUGUUAUGGAGUGUGUUCACAUGAUUCUUUAUGUGGCACACAGUCUAACAGUGGAGGUCCCAGAAAGAGAAACAAAUUGGGAAUUGGACAAUUUCAGAAGACGAAUUACGAGAAACUGUUGAAAUUGGGGUUGCUAUCGGUUUUCAAAUCGAUGUGCACAACCAAGUCCUUACUGAAGUCGUGGGAUGUACCGGUGAUAAUCACGGUUCCAAAUGAAUUGCAUGCCACUUAAUGUUAGAGGAAUUGGAGAGGCGGUGAAAGUCAAUUGGGUUAGAAGAUUAAAAAACCUCCAUAAGGUCAGCUUCAUAGGCAUUCUGGAGACUCAACUCACUGACCAUGAAGACAUUGACGUUAUGGUAAUCUGGAUGCAUACCUAGCUGCAAAGUUACGGUACUUGAAGACGGAAAUCAAAAAGUGGAUCAAACAGUUCACAAAGAAGAAAAAAAGGAGUUGAAUCUUAUUAAGAACACAGUUGCUCAUCUAGAAAAAAUGGCGGAGACAAGAACUUUAACUCGGUCUGAACUCAACAGGCGAAGUGAAGGCUUACAAAAGAUAUUAGAAAUGGAGAAAAUUGCGGUGUUAGACUUGAAACAAAUAUCAUGUGUGAAAUGGUUGGUGGACGGAGAUGAAAACACAAAACUUUCCAAUGGGUAUAUCUACAACAGGAAUAAGAGCAGCAUAAUUAACGGUUGUUGGUGAAUGGCAAAUGGACUACUAAGGUGGAGGAGGUCAAAUGUGAAGUACUUCGGUUUUUCCAAAACAAAUUUAAAGAAAAAUGGAUUUUGAGGCCCAAAUUUGUUAGUCCAAACUUCAAGUCCUUGACUAUGGUGGAAGCUAUAAAAUCGAAUCUCCAUCUGUCCGAAUAAAUAAAAAUGUUUUUGUCAUUUGUCCUAUUUUUAUAAGUUUUGACAAAUGUCAAUUUUUGGUAAUUUUAAAUUAAAUUUUAUCCACGUUUCAUA
This is a non-coding RNA of Lactuca sativa (garden lettuce), 4908 nucleotides long. NCBI's taxonomy places the organism in Eukaryota, Viridiplantae, Streptophyta, Magnoliopsida, Asterales, Asteraceae. The record is from RefSeq and is a predicted model, not a curated record.